AACGAACGCUGGCGGCAUGCCUAACACAUGCAGGUCGAACGAGACCUUCGGGUCUAGUGGCGAACGGGUGCGUAACGCGUGGGAACCUGCCCUUAGGUUCGGAAUAACUCCCCGAAAGGGGUGCUAAUACCGGAUAAUGUCUUCGGACCAAAGAUUUAUCGCCUUUGGAUGGGCCCGCGUUGGAUUAGCUAGUUGGUAGGGUAAAAGCCUACCAAGGCGACGAUCCAUAGCUGGUCUGAGAGGAUGAUCAGCCACACUGGGACUGAGACACGGCCCAGACUCCUACGGGAGGCAGCAGUGGGGAAUAUUGGACAAUGGGCGAAAGCCUGAUCCAGCAAUGCCGCGUGAGUGAUGAAGGCCUUAGGGUUGUAAAGCUCUUUUACCCGGGAUGAUAAUGACAGUACCGGGAGAAUAAGCUCCGGCUAACUCCGUG
This 433-nucleotide ribosomal RNA is filed under the name uncultured bacterium. RNAcentral describes it as "partial 16S ribosomal RNA". It matches the Rfam family "Bacterial small subunit ribosomal RNA", at positions 29 to 507 of the family's 1533-position model. The record is from RNAcentral.